This 256-nucleotide ribosomal RNA is filed under the name uncultured Lactobacillus sp. RNAcentral's name for it is "partial 16S ribosomal RNA". It matches the Rfam family "Bacterial small subunit ribosomal RNA", at positions 94 to 339 of the family's 1533-position model. The record is from RNAcentral. Lineage: Bacteria; Bacillati; Bacillota; Bacilli; Lactobacillales; Lactobacillaceae.
AGCGGCGGACGGGUGAGUAACACGGUGGCAACCUGCCCUGGAGCGGGGGAUAACAUUUGGAAACAGAUGCUAAUACCGGCAUAAUAAUCAAAACCACAUGGUCUUGAUUUCAAAGAUGGCUUCGGCUAUCACUCCAGGUAUGGGGCCCGCGGUGCAUUAGCUAGUUGGUAAGGUAACGGCUUACCAAGGGCAAUGAUGCAUAGCCGAGUUGAGAGACUGAUCGGCCACAAUGGAACUGAGACACGGUCCAUACUCC